RNAcentral lists this ribosomal RNA (530 nucleotides) under uncultured Flavobacterium sp. Its description in RNAcentral is "bacterial SSU rRNA". It matches the Rfam family "Bacterial small subunit ribosomal RNA", at positions 337 to 861 of the family's 1533-position model. Lineage: Bacteria; Pseudomonadati; Bacteroidota; Flavobacteriia; Flavobacteriales; Flavobacteriaceae. The record is from RNAcentral.
GCCUACGGGAGGCAGCAGUGAGGAAUAUUGGACAAUGGGAGCAAUCCUGAUCCAGCCAUGCCGCGUGCAGGAAGACUGCCCUAUGGGUUGUAAACUGCUUUUAUACAGGAAGAAAAAGCCGUACGUGUVCGBUGUUGACGGUACUGUAAGAAUAAGGAUCGGCUAACUCCGUGCCAGCAGCCGCGGUAAUACGGAGGAUCCAAGCGUUAUCCGGAAUCAUUGGGUUUAAAGGGUCCGUAGGCGGGACGAUAAGUCAGUGGUGAAAGUCUGCAGCUCAACUGUAGAAUUGCCAUUGAUACUGUUGUUCUUGAGUKMUUGUGAAGUGGUUAGAAUGAGUAGUGUAGCGGUGAAAUGCAUAGAUAUUACUCAGAAUACCGAUUGCGAAGGCAGAUCACUAACAAUGCACUGACGCUGAUGGACGAAAGCGUAGGUAGCGAACAGGAUUAGAUACCCUGGUAGUCUAUCGCCGUMAAUCGAUGGUUACUAGCUGUUCGGGUCAAUUGAGMYCUGAGUGGCUAAGCGAAAGUGAU